CAGUUAUAUGUAUAAGAGCAUCUUACUAGUGUGUGUGAAAGCAUCUUACCUGUGUAUGUGAGAGGAUUUCACUAGAGUGUAUGAGCGACACUGCAUUCCGGUUCCGGUCACCUAUAAUGCCCGCCCAUUUUCAAUUUUUUUUUUUUUUUUUUUUUUAAGCGGAGUUGUUUGUGAAAAAAAUGUCUGCCGAACUACCAACAAGUAGCUUCACAGAGGCACCACCCGCAGCAUUAUCGAGCGCCUCUUCUACCACACGGACAUCGGGUCAAGAGGAGGAAAAGAGUCACCACGCAUGACCAUUUCAACAAGGACGGAAUACACAACCUCUGGGUUCAUGGAAGUUGGCUUCCAAACAACUUCUCUGCAUCUCAACGGAAGGAGGCAGACACCAUUUCAGAUGUGGCAUUCAGGUGUCAUUAUUAAUGCACGAAUCCAUCCAGCUAUAAGAAGCAUUUUGAUGCUGACAACUACUUUGACAUUGAUGAAGAAGGUCCACUACCUGAACUCCAGACAAAUAAUAUUGUAAUUCCAAACAUAGAUUUAAACAUUAGUGAGACGAUAAUGAACAUUUUUCAACAAGUGAACCCACUUGAAAAUGAUGGGAAUUGUGGAAUAGACAUUUUCACUUAAAUUCUGCACUUUAUUCAGUGAACAACAUGGGAAUUAUAUGGUUUGUUAAAAUGUUUUUUUCACUUGUGCAGUGUAUUCUGCGAAUUAAGGUUUUGUUUAAACAUUUUGUAAAAAAUUAAUAAAAAACAACCUGUUACACAGACCUGUA
Molecule: long non-coding RNA, 778 nt
Organism: Nerophis ophidion (straightnose pipefish)
Lineage: Eukaryota; Metazoa; Chordata; Actinopteri; Syngnathiformes; Syngnathidae
Exons: 2
Source: RefSeq, a predicted model, not a curated record